This 67-nucleotide transfer RNA is filed under the name Scolytinae sp. BMNH 1040174. RNAcentral describes it as "tRNA-Arg". The record is from RNAcentral. Lineage: Eukaryota; Metazoa; Arthropoda; Insecta; Coleoptera; Curculionidae.
AAGUAGAAAACAAAAUUAUUGUAUUUAGUUUCGACCUAAAAUUUUGGUGCUGGCCCACCUCUACUUA